AAAUUGAAGAGUUUGAUCAUGGCUCAGAUUGAACGCUGGCGGCAGGCCUAACACAUGCAAGUCGAGCGGAAACGAGUUAUCUGAACCUUCGGGGAACGAUAACGGCGUCGAGCGGCGGACGGGUGAGUAAUGCCUAGGAAAUUGCCCUGAUGUGGGGGAUAACCAUUGGAAACGAUGGCUAAUACCGCAUGAUGCCUACGGGCCAAAGAGGGGGACCUUCGGGCCUCUCGCGUCAGGAUAUGCCUAGGUGGGAUUAGCUAGUUGGUGAGGUAAGGGCUCACCAAGGCGACGAUCCCUAGCUGGUCUGAGAGGAUGAUCAGCCACACUGGAACUGAGACACGGUCCAGACUCCUACGGGAGGCAGCAGUGGGGAAUAUUGCACAAUGGGCGCAAGCCUGAUGCAGCCAUGCCGCGUGUGUGAAGAAGGCCUUCGGGUUGUAAAGCACUUUCAGUCGUGAGGAAGGUAGUGUAGUUAAUAGCACCAUUAUUUGACGUUAGCGACAGAAGAAGCACCGGCUAACUCCGUGCCAGCAGCCGCGGUAAUACGGAGGGUGCGAGCGUUAAUCGGAAUUACUGGGCGUAAAGCGCAUGCAGGUGGUUUGUUAAGUCAGAUGUGAAAGCCCGGGGCUCAACCUCGGAAUUGCAUUUGAAACUGGCAGACUAGAGUACUGUAGAGGGGGGUAGAAUUUCAGGUGUAGCGGUGAAAUGCGUAGAGAUCUGAAGGAAUACCGGUGGCGAAGGCGGCCCCCUGGACAGAUACUGACACUCAGA
RNAcentral lists this ribosomal RNA (771 nucleotides) under Vibrio parahaemolyticus. RNAcentral describes it as "bacterial SSU rRNA". It matches the Rfam family "Bacterial small subunit ribosomal RNA", at positions 1 to 751 of the family's 1533-position model. The record is from RNAcentral. Lineage: Bacteria; Pseudomonadati; Pseudomonadota; Gammaproteobacteria; Vibrionales; Vibrionaceae.